This 914-nucleotide long non-coding RNA is filed under the name Homo sapiens (human). Its description in RNAcentral is "non-protein coding lnc-XPO4-1:1". The record is from RNAcentral. Lineage: Eukaryota; Metazoa; Chordata; Mammalia; Primates; Hominidae.
ACCACGCAUGCGCGGGGCUGGGAGCUUAGCGGGGCGCGCGGCUGCAGCAGUCUGGGCAGACCGCCUCGGCCUCGCCCGGUGCCGGCUGCGGCCGCCCCCGCCCCAGCGCGGCGGCCGGGCUCACACUAGUCCCCUCCCAGCCACCCGGAACCCGGCAGCCCGGCCAGACCCGCCGAGGCCGCGACGCCGGUGUCGACAGCGGCUGCGACGGCCCUGGGAGCGCGUGAGGCUCCGGGGUCGCGGCGGCGAUUGGCCGGCCGCGGCGCCCGCUCCCAGAAUGCAGCGCAUGGCGCGUCAUUGAAGAGAGACCAUGAUGGCGGCGGCGCUGGGGCCCCCAGAAGUGAUCGCUCAGCUGGAGAACGCGGCUAAAGUUCUGAUGGCACCACCUUCCAUGGUCAAUAAUGAACAACGCCAGCAUGCAGAGCACAUAUUCUUAUCAUUUAGGAAAUCAAAAUCACCAUUUGCAGUUUGCAAGCAUAUUUUGGUUCUUCAUGCUUUGGAAGUAACAGUUGAAGAGAGGUGAGGAAAGUUUGUGAAAAUUGUGAUCGGUGAUUAGCUGCCACCUGCCUGAGGUGUCUUCUGAGAGGAACUAACCUCUUUGUGGUGCUAGAGCAAGGUCACUGGAUAAAAAAAAGAACAGAAACUAGUAAAGUGGACUAUGUCCUCUUUCAAGCUGCCACAGCCAUAAUGGAAGCAGUUGUCCGAGAGUGGAUUCUCUUGGAAAAAGGUAGCAUCGAGUCUCUGCGAACAUUCCUUUUAACCUAUGUCUUACAAAGGCCCAACCUUCAAAAGUAUGUUCGGGAACAGAUUCUACUAGCAGUAGCAGUAAUUGUAAAAAGAGGAUCAUUAGAUAAAUCAAUUGACUGCAAAAGCAUUUUUCAUGAAGUCAGCCAGUUGAUUAGUAGUGGCAAUCC